RNAcentral lists this ribosomal RNA (446 nucleotides) under uncultured bacterium. RNAcentral's name for it is "bacterial SSU rRNA". It matches the Rfam family "Bacterial small subunit ribosomal RNA", at positions 355 to 793 of the family's 1533-position model. The record is from RNAcentral.
UAGGGAAUCUUCCACAAUGGGCGCAAGCCUGAUGGAGCAACACCGCGUGAGUGAAGAAGGGUUUCGGCUCGUAAAGCUCUGUUGUUAAAGAAGAACACGUAUGAGAGUAACUGUUCAUACGUUGACGGUAUUUAACCAGAAAGUCACGGCUAACUACGUGCCAGCAGCCGCGGUAAUACGUAGGUGGCAAGCGUUAUCCGGAUUUAUUGGGCGUAAAGAGAGUGCAGGCGGUUUUCUAAGUCUGAUGUGAAAGCCUUCGGCUUAACCGGAGAAGUGCAUCGGAAACUGGAUAACUUGAGUGCAGAAGAGGGUAGUGGAACUCCAUGUGUAGCGGUGGAAUGCGUAGAUAUAUGGAAGAACACCAGUGGCGAAGGCGGCUACCUGGUCUGCAACUGACGCUGAGACUCGAAAGCAUGGGUAGCGAACAGGAUUAGAUACCCUGGUAG